RNAcentral lists this ribosomal RNA (496 nucleotides) under uncultured bacterium. RNAcentral describes it as "partial 16S ribosomal RNA". It matches the Rfam family "Bacterial small subunit ribosomal RNA", at positions 28 to 506 of the family's 1533-position model. The record is from RNAcentral.
GAUGAACGCUGGCGGCGUGCCUAAUACAUGCAAGUCGAGCGAACAGACGAGGAGCUUGCUCCUCUGACGUUAGCGGCGGACGGGUGAGUAACACGUGGAUAACCUACCUAUAAGACUGGGAUAACUUCGGGAAACCGGAGCUAAUACCGGAUAAUAUAUUGAACCGCAUGGUUCAAUAGUGAAAGACGGUUUUGCUGUCACUUAUAGAUGGAUCCGCGCCGCAUUAGCUAGUUGGUAAGGUAACGGCUUACCAAGGCGACGAUGCGUAGCCGACCUGAGAGGGUGAUCGGCCACACUGGAGCUGAGACACGGUCCAGACUCCUACGGGAGGCAGCAGUAGGGAAUCUUCCGCAAUGGGCGAAAGCCUGACGGAGCAACGCCGCGUGAGUGAUGAAGGUCUUCGGAUCGUAAAACUCUGUUAUUAGGGAAGAUCAAAUGUGUAAGUAACUAUGCACGUCUUGACGGUACCUAAUCAGAAAGCCACGGCUAACUACGU